UAUUUUGAAGGGCAAUACAAAAAAACUUGUGCCGGAAGUGAUUCUAUGCGCCUGCGGUCAAUGUGUCUACCUUUAGUUGAUUAAUUUAUGAGCAUCCGAAGUGUACUUUUUCCAAAAUGUCUAAAGUACAGCUGUUGAACCGAGCGAUUAACAGCAGUAGCUGUGGAGUUAUUUGGUACAAUGGAAAAAAAGGUUGCAGAGGAGCAUCAGAAACGAUUAAACAACCGUGGCUGAUAAGAUUUUCAUGGCAGUGGAAAAAACGAUAGCAGAGUAGCGUUACCAGGAUCAGAUCUCCAGUUAAAAAAUGGAGAACGAACGUCUACGGGUAUUUCUUCUGAAGUUUGGAGCAGUAAAUCCAGACUGUUCUGCAGUAAAGAGUGAAAUCAUUAACUCUUGAUGGGGAGGAGAGUGAAGGACUAUUAGGAUUAAAGACACUGGGAAAGGAAGGACAAAGUUCUUAUCUGUACAAAAGCUAAGACAACCAACCAGUGACCUCAAAGCACCAUUGAUGACUCACACAGGGAAGAAACUUCACAUGUGUCGUGUGUGUGUGCAGUAUGGGCUUUAUCAGAGCAAUACAUUUAAAAAUAUAUAUAUAAAAAACACCUGAAAUUUCAGAGAGGAGAAAUUAUUCAGGUGUUCCAUGUGCAGUAAAUGUUUUAAACAAGCCUAAUAAGACAUUAGAGAAUUCACACAAGGGAGAAAGCAUAUCGUUGCAAAGAACUUACACUGUAAUUACAAACUAGACCAGGCAUAUGAGAAGUCUCACAGGGGAGAAAUACUUCAGUUGUCCCGUGUGCAAUAAAUGCUUCUCAGUUCCAAGCUCCGUAAAGAAUGCAUAUGAAGAGAGAUCACAUUGCACUGAAUGUGAUGAAUCCUUCAUAGCAGAGAGACACCUGGCCGUUCAUACAUAGAUUCACACAAGGGGGGGAAAAAAUACACAAGGUGUCCUGUGUGCAAUGAAUCCUAUUAUUAGCAGCUUGGAUAAGCAUCAGAGAAUGCACACAGAGACAAACCAUAUCAGUGUAAAGAAAGUGGCAAAUCCUAUAGAUGUAUGAGAUUGCUGGUCGUUCAUACGAAGUAUCACACAGAGGAGAAAUCACACAAAUGUCCUGUGUGCAGUGAAUGCUAUUUCAGAGUCAGCGAUUUUUUUCAAAAGUCAUCUGAGAAUUCACACAGGUGGAAAAGACGUGGUAAAUCCUUCAAAGUGCGUAACCUAUUGCUCAAUCAAUCAACAUGUUAUUAGUCACAUUCGCCAAAUACAACAGGUUUACAGUGAAAUGCUUACUUACGAGCCCCUAACCAACAAUGCAGUUUUUAAAAAAUACGGAAAAGAAAAAGAGAUAAAAGUAACAAGUAAUUAAAGAGCAGCAGUAUAUAUAUAUAUAUAUAUAUAUAUAUAUAUAUAGGACAUUUGUGUGAUUUCUCCUCUGUGUGAUACUUCGUAUGAACGACCAGCAAUCUCAUACAUCUAUAGGAUUUGCCACUUUCUUGCUGGUUGCUGGUACAGAGUCGAUGUGCGGUGGCAGCAGUUAGUUGAAGAAUCACACAGGGGAAAAACAUGCUGCUGCAAUGAAUGUGGCAAAUUGGUUCAGAGGAAAAAGCAAGUCUUAACAGGGCAUAUGAGGAUUCACACAGGGGAGAGGCCCUAUAAGUGCCUUAUAUGGGAGAAAUCCUUAAUGUGUUCUAAUGUUCUAAAACUCUGCCGGUUAACUCACUCUAAAGAGAAGAUCUACUGCUGCCAUGAAUGUGGCAAAUGGUUCAAAACCGAGAAGUACCUGGACAGUCCUAUGACGACUCACACAGGAAAGAAGAAAUCGUACUGCUGCAUUGAAUGUGACAAGUGCUACAAAGUAAAGCAGAGUCUUUAACGGCGCACACGAGGACUCACACAGGGUCGAAAACAUUUUGCUGCCAUGAAUGUGGCAACGGAUACCACCUGGAUGUGCAUAUGAGGACUCACAAAGGAAAGAAACCACAUUGCAUGUAGUGAAUGUGGCAAACGCUACCAUGAAAAGGCAAGUCUAACAAAGCAUAUGAGGACUCACACAAGGGGAGUAAUCAGAUGUGUGAGAAAACGUCUUGUAUCAGUUUUUGAUCUAAGUCGCUGCAUUUUUUUGCUACAUCUGUGGCAAAUGCUCACAUGUGACCCCCCCCCCCACCAGAAAGAACAUGGACAUGAGAGAAGCACCACACACUGUCCAUGUGUUUUCUGGAGGGAUCCCAUCUUAUGUAGAGGCCAAAAAGAAACUGAAUGAACACCUAUUGAGUUGAUGGGCAGCGAGUAGCAUAAACACUUAUGUGAACAAUGCUUGGUGUAAAAGCUAUUCCCAAAGUUUAAAAAAGUGUGUAAACAGAGCAAUGGAGGGCACAUACCAAUCCACUGCAAUUUGUCAGUCAAAAGAGGGAAAAGCUCAUUAUUAUAUCUGAUACCUUUAAGAGACAAUUCCCCCCAGGUUACAACUCUUGUUUGAUUUUAGAUGUGACAAAUAGUUCAGGAUUUGGAAUUGUGGGAAGAGGUAGGGAAGUAUGGUACACAAAAACAUGUUGUUGUUUUUUGUCUGUACAUUGCCCAUUUUUUUGUAACUUUUCUCAAAAUGCACCUGUUUACAUUUCAGCCAUUAUGCUUUAUGUUGGUAUCAAUAAAAACACGUAAAUCCCA
Long non-coding RNA from Oncorhynchus gorbuscha (pink salmon), 2662 nucleotides. RefSeq lists it as uncharacterized. The transcript is spliced from 2 exons. The record is from RefSeq and is a predicted model, not a curated record. NCBI's taxonomy places the organism in Eukaryota, Metazoa, Chordata, Actinopteri, Salmoniformes, Salmonidae.